This 5696-nucleotide long non-coding RNA is filed under the name Brassica napus (rape). Its description in RNAcentral is "long non-coding RNA (BNAP_LNC017329)". Lineage: Eukaryota; Viridiplantae; Streptophyta; Magnoliopsida; Brassicales; Brassicaceae. The record is from RNAcentral.
UCCGCAACCUCAGUCUCUUUCGCCUGAUGCAUAGCCUUCAAGACAAGAUUAUACGACGCCGUAUUAGGGGCCACGGAGAAAUCAUCCAUCAUCGCAACGAGAUCGAGCAUGUCACUAGGUGCAGCGCCCAUCAUCAAAUUAGCCCUAAGGUAAUGGUUGUAAAGGUUGACAUCCGGCUUGUUCGGCUUCCCGUUCUUGUCGAGCGACCGGACCCAGAACUCGAAUAGCUGCUUCAUGUCGGACCAGCGCUGCGACGCGGUCCAGUCGGCGAACAUGUUGAGCAGCGAGAUCAUGUCGAGGGUCUCGGAGAGGGCUCUGAUGCGGGCGGCGGGGGCUUGGUUUAGGAAUCCCAUGGGGACUAGUGAUUGGCUGAAGGAGGGCGAGUUCGGGAUCGGGCUCCGCCAGUUCUCCUGGUAGAGAGGGCUUCCUGUUGCUGGAUUUGGAGGGAGCGUGGUGGAUUCGUGAUCGGUUGCGAGCUGGGGAUCUUGAUAGAGGGACGGCGUACCGGAAAUGGUUCUGAUGUGGUGAUUGGGUUUGAGGGUUCGGAGGAGAGAGAUCCGAGACCGGAGGAAGAGAUGAGAAGACAUUGUCGGAAGGGGAUCUAGUUUGGAGUUGGAGUUUGGUCAAAAGGGGUUUAUCUUGUUUUAGGGUUUUCAGAGUUUCAGAUUGAGUUCGGUCGUGACGAUCUCUUCCCCCCCGUGGGCAGUGGUAUUUUCAGAAAUUAUUCGACAACUGAUGUCAUUUUCAGGAGUCUUAGAAACGGGUUUAGACCCAGCCCGGCCCAUUAUGGUAUGGCUAAAUUAGUUUUAUACUGAAGCUCCAAUAAUAUUUUAAUUGCUGCAUGCGAUCUAAAUUAUAAAUAUUAAAAUAUUUUGAGCUAAACUACAUGCUUUUAUAGGUAUUUAAAAUUAUAUGUGUAUGUACUGAUCACUAAUUUAAUAACCAUUAUAAGUUUUCAAUUCACCCAAAACAAUUAUCCAUUAAAAAAUAUGAUUUUUAUACUUUCAAUGUGAAUGAUCAAUUGUAAAUGAGUAAUUUUCUUAAUAGUUGUGAUGGAAUAUAGAAAAAUAUUAUACAAUAUUUAUAUUAAAAUAAUUAAUGCAACAUUUAUAAGAAAAUAAUAUCACAAAAAUUUCAUAUUUGUUUUUGAAUUUUUUUUAGAAAAUGCCAAUAUAUUAGUAUGAUUAAUAAAACAACCACUUACCAUCUAUCCAUUGAUUACAAAAUAGCUAUAAUAGGUUAUAUAUAAUAAUUUUAUAACAUUUUUUUUAAAACUAAACAUGAUUAGUUAGAUUUAAUAAUUUCAAAUUCAUAUAUAUGAUUGUUUGAACUAUAAAAUUUUUAAUCACUAGUAAUUUGUUUUUCAGUUAUACUAUUGUUUGCUCUAUAAAACUUUAAAUCAUCAAUUUUUGUAUUAAGUGUAACUUUUGUGCAUAGUACAUUACGAAGUAGAAGUUAUAUGCUAGUUUUUUUUUAUUUGUUUGGUGAAUUUAUUAUCCUAAAUUAUACUUAAAUGAGAUUUUCAAUGAUAAACAUAAUUUAGUGGACGUCUUCUGAAGCUUCCACCAUAUCGGAAAUAUAUUUGAUGCACACAUCAAAAAUGAAACUCCUCCAUGAAAAAUGUUUCACAUAAUUUUAAACUAUCCACAAUCCUAAGUAUAAAAUGAUAUGUGCAUCUAAAAUUGUGGAUAUGAAGACAAGGAUAUUUGAUGCUUUUAAUGAUUUUAGAUCAUUUUAUUUACUUUUAUCUUUAAUACUUUCCGAGAAAACGCAAUUAAAAAGUUAAUUGAGGAAACACAAUUGUUAGGUUAAUUGAGAAAAGGUAAAUUGAUGAAUAAUCAGAAAAUGAAAAACAUUUUUACCUAAAUUCUUAUCUUCCUACUAUACAACGAGUUACAUCAACGAGUUUCAAACAAGUUGAUGAAACUCUAGCCUGACAAAGAAGAUUUUCUAUUGGUGUACUUACGUAUAACGUCUUGGAGGUAGAUUCGGGUCAUAGGAACAAAUCUUUGAUCAUGUCUCUUCAAAGCAUUCUCUAUGCUUUCUCUGGAAUAUUUGAGAGGAUAACCAGCAAUGGCAUUCUCUUUAUCCCUAAGAGCAAUGACAUCAAUAACAAAGAAAAUAACAAAAUGAAAAUUUAAAUGUAAGAAAUAACAUUUCUAAAUUGCCUUAAAAUAACAAAAGCAUUGCAAGUUGUUCUGAUAAAAUGAAAAUUUGAAAGUAAGAUUUAAAGAGGUUUACCAAAAGGAAGAUAUUAACUGUUUAAUAUAGUUCUUAUGUUCAAUUAAACUAUUUGUUGCAUGUAUGAUUUUGUUUAUGGAAAAAUUGUUAAAUUACUAAUUAAAUUUAAAUUCUCAUCGGCAAAAGGGAAACAUCUCGUUGUCUGAUCCUAUUUCAUUUAAUUUCGAGAGACACCACACUUAAUUUCAAAUGGUGCUUUGACUUGGCUUAUAAAACAUCACUAAUGCUCAGCCAUUACAACUUAGCACAAUUCAAUAAUGGACUACAACGGGCAUAAUAUUGAUUUGAGAGAGAGAGAGAGAGAGAGAAAGAAACCUUGGAGAGAGAAGAAGCGGAGGAUGGUAAGGCUUUACAGGGAGAGUGUACAGACAUAUCGUCCUGCUCUUCCUCUUUCUCUUUCUCUUUCUCUUUAUCUCCACCAACUUCGUCAUUUCUUCCACCCAUCUUUGUGUUCCCUUCCCUCUCUUCAAUCAGUUUAGGGUUUCGUGUCGUGUCGUGUCUUUGAUCCCAGAAGAAAUGAGAUGAAAUGUUCUCUGAAUCUGUGAGACAGAAGCCUCUCAAGAAUCCACCUGGACUCCGAAUUGGGCCGACCAAUUCUCAAGGCCCUGUCUCCGGUUUAGCACACCAGUAUACAAUUACAUUAUUCAAGAGUUACAAGAUCAAAAAGCGCAGGAGUGAAUUACUGUAUUGUGGAUAACUUUAGUAAUUAAAAAAAAAAACAUAACAUCAUGUGCAUGAGACUAUUUGAACACCAAAAAACAAAGGCUUUUAUGAAGAUAAAAAAAGAUACGAAUCUUCCAAAAAGUUUUGCCAUUUAUUGGUCAAUGCUGCAUGAAAACAUCUGCAAGAGAGACUAGUGAACCACUGAUCCUAAAACAACGAGCUAUGUAAUGGAAAAACAAAUCAGAUUUGAGGACUCGAAACGAUUAUAAAUGAAGCAACUGACAGCAAUGAAACACGGAGCAACGGUCCAUAGCUUCAAAGAUUCGAUGAGCCUGAGAUUCUCAUACCUCCCUCCUUCCUCAACAAGAGCUUCUGCAACAACCAAACACAUUUGAUGAGAUGGUCACAAUUUGAUGAUUCCUCUGUAACAAUAAAAACUGAGGAUUCAUUAUUACAUUUAGCCCUUCAUUAUGCGCGAACCCUGGAGUAAUCCAUGUUGAACAGCAUGUUCCUCCGGUUCUCUGAUCCCAUCCUUAUUUGAAACUUCUUGGCCAAAGACUCCACCUUAUCAUCGUUUUCGUUGUCUAGCUCCCUGAUACAUCGCCUUCUCAGCUUCUUCAGUGUCUCCUUGGAAGGUUCAAAUCCAGCUUUGAUCUGUUAUUUCCGAAAAGCAUGUUUUAGUUUCUCAUAGCCAUGUUAAACAACACACAUCCUUCUCUCAUAGCGGUUCUGGUUUUACCAUGUCAUCGAUGACCGUCAGAGCUGAUUCGGGAUCCCGGUUAAUGAGAUGAGCAUCAACCAGCAAUGAAAACGUCCGGGCAUCAGGCUUAACACCUUCCCCAACUAGAUGACUGUAUACUCUUGUAGCCUCAGGAGUCUGCAAAAGCAAACAAGCUCAGAGUCUUUAAGCCUCGUCGGAAAUAAGAAAAAAUUAAAGAGAAAGAGAGUGAUAUGACAUGGAGACAUCACCUACCUUCUUGACCUUUCCAAAUGCAUAUAUUAAAGCAUUGUACGAAUCAAUAUUAGGAGUCAGCCCAAAAGAAGCACUUAUUGCAUCAAACGUCUGGUAAGCACGAUCCAGAUCCCAUGUGUUUGCGCAGCCAAGAACUAUACAGUUUAGAGCAGCAACGGACUUGUACGGAGUAUCACCUUUACUCAAUGUCUCCAGCUGGAAGUAUACCUCAUCCAAUGUCUCAAAACCUUUCUUAGAACAGGCCACAACCAGCGGGUACAACGAUGUAAAAGGAGAAAGCAUUUCCUCCUUAACUUCCUUUUCAGCGUCCUUGUAUGCGUUUUCAAACUCAUUAAGUGCGACGAAAGCUUUCUGCAGGUUCCCCAACGAUGCGUAAGCAUUUAUCUUCGCAACAUAAGCCGCAGGGUUGGCUGCCUUCUUCCCACGCAGGCUCCGUUUCAGAAUCAUCCACGAUCCAUCUAUUAAAGUCGGAUUGCACGUCCUAGCAGCGGUUGCGAGAGCUGACACCACCAAACCUUCAUCAACAGAGAGUAAAACCGAGGGCCUAGCCAUUUCUCCUCUGUUGAUCCAAUUGUACAUGAACUCAAACGCGUAGAAUGCUAAUUUGCUAUUGUCCUCUUGAGUUGCUACUUCAGCCAUGUAUGUACAGAGUAUCCAGCUAGGGCAUAGGGACUUGUUCCGAUCAAGAGACUGUAAAACAAAACAAAAUGAGGCAAAAUGCUUUUUAAAUAUCAUCAAACUAAGACGUACCUUACACCUCUCGAUGAUGGAGACCAGUGUAUCUGUCCUACCUUUGGCUACACAGCUACGCACACAUUCGCUAAAAACAGUGGUGGACAACAUGUAACCAGAUUUUAGUGCGAUGUCCAGAAGCUGCAUGGCUUUGUCAUUCUCCCCAUUAGAAUACAGCAUUCCAAUAACCAAAUCAUAUGAUUCAUCAUCCGGACGAGAUUCAUCCUUCCCUGAUAUCAGCAUCCUGAUGGUACAUAAAAAAAAAAAACAAUAUAUUUCAAGAAAUGGCUAGGCGGUUACUAAACGAUUUAAAUUUAUAUAAGCCUAGCUUCUAAACGGAUUAUUCAUGGCAUAGGCAGGAACUAAACAUUAAUGAAUUACUUUUUAUUUAUUUUAUACUAGAUUUUUUUUUUAUAACUUUUUAGGUUUAAUUAUAUAACUAAUUUGAUGAGUUGUAAAAGUUAGGUAUAUAAAAAAAACGAAAUUUGACAAAGCGUGUACACUAACACUGUUACUUGAUUUAACUGAUUUACACCAAUUUAGAUAGAAACUCUUAAAUUGGAUUCAAAGAAAAUCUUCUCGAAUUAUUAUGUAAAUUUCAUAGAUUUUGCACUCGUAAGAGUCUUUUACUAAUUGAACAGUGAUUAAGCAGCAAUGUAUGUAAUUAUUGUGUAGAGCAAAAACAAAAAAGGAUUAAGUUGGAUAUAACCUGUUAAGCAGCUUCUCCGCAACCUCAGUCUCUUUCGCCUGAUGCAUAGCCUUCAAGACAAGAUUAUACGACGCCGUAUUAGGGGCCACGGAGAAAUCAUCCAUCAUCGCAACGAGAUCGAGCAUGUCACUAGGUGCAGCGCCCAUCAUCAAAUUAGCCCUAAGGUAAUGGUUGUAAAGGUUGACAUCCGGCUUGUUCGGCUUCCCGUUCUUGUCGAGCGACCGGACCCAGAACUCGAAUAGCUGCUUCAUGUCGGACCAGCGCUGCGACGCGGUCCAGUCGGCGAACAUGUUGAGCAGCGAGAUCAUGUCGAGGGUCUCGGAGAGGGCUCUGAUGCGGGCGGCGGGGGCUUGGUUUAGGAAUCCCAUGGGGACUAGU